Molecule: long non-coding RNA, 1737 nt
Filed under: Homo sapiens (human)
Lineage: Eukaryota; Metazoa; Chordata; Mammalia; Primates; Hominidae
Description: HSALNT0110800
Source: RNAcentral
UGGGUGGGCAGAAAGGUUAUUAGAGAACCACAGAGAGCUGACAAGCAAAGGAUCCAGAGCAUAUUGAUGGAAGCAAUCUGCCUACCCUGUACACCUCCUGAAGCACCAGCUACCGCUGAGGAAAACGAUGAAGUAUAAAUGAGAAGUAAAUGACCUCUGUCCAUUUCUCCCUCUGGCCCAACUGCUCUUCCAGUGACAGACUAUAUAUUGCCUUUUGCCAAGAAUCAGCAGUUCUUCAACUGUUCACCAUGUACGUAAGUAAAAACUGAACAAGGAAAAUUGCUACCAUGUUCAGAUAACCUCUGUAAACUGUGAUAUUAUCUUCUCUUGUGUAGGUCUUACCUUAAAAAUUAGAGCUCAAGAUAAAGUCUUGUAUGGUGUUCUUGGCCUCAUGGCUACUUCCUUUCCUCCUCCUUGCUGACUGAGGGUGCCCUUCAUGUCAUAAUCUUUUUAUGACUAAAGCCUGAUGGUCAAGCUGCUAAGACAUCCCUACAGAUCUUUUCUCUGAUCACUGAUCCCUUAAGGGAUCUUGUCUUCCUAUUUGAACAUUUCGAGGCUGUGACCCUGUGAAUACACAGCCACUGGUGGAGGUAAAAUCUGAAGGUAAGUAUGGGAAGAGCCGUUGAAUCCCUGGAGAAUCCCCAGAUAGAACCAGAUUGUUUAUACAAGUCCAAAUACUCUUAAUAACUUCUAAUCAUUAGGGCUAGAUUCUACAUGUUAACAGAUUUAUUUGCACAUAUUCUGUAAGCCAAAAAAAUCGCUUUAUUAUGAGUACAGUUCCUUAAGUAUUUGAAUGAUGAGUUUUCAUCUCCUUUGGUCACCCUCUAGAUUUGGCUGGAGGAACUUUCCAUGAAGAACUUGGCUUAUUCUCUUAGUGGAACAAGAGAAACAAAGACACUAAAUAUUUUUUUCUAGAUUUUUCUUUAAAAAAUAUUGAAUGAUACCCUGACUGGUGUGGUAAAAGGAGGUAAAUUUGUUUGGGCAAUACUUGAGCCUUUUAUUCAAAAAAUAUAUUUAUUUCAGAAAAUAAACAUUUAAAAAUACAAUAGCUACAAAUGGCAGUGCUAUUUACCACUCUGAAUGUAAAGUUCUCUUUAUGUGUUUGACAUGUAAUUUGAAUGAAUGCAAUAUAUGUGCGGGGGAAAGCUGUGCUUCAGUGGAAAACAUCUGGAACCCAGCUUCUGGAUUAUCUGAUUCUGAUUCUAAGAGGGUUAUUUUAUAGCUCUUUCCAUGACUGAUAACUGAUAGAAAUACAACAUCAUUUUUCUUUACAGAGGGGCAAAUUCUAUCCUGGAGAGUGGAGAGUCAACUGAUUUCCCUUCCCCACUGUGGAAAAAGCCAGUUUUGGCUUCAUUUGCAUAUUCAUGUCAAUAUACUUGAUCUACAAAUAUGUCUAUUCUUUGAUUCUCCUUUGAACAAGUUACAACAUUUGGUUCUCUCACUUAACUGUGUUCAAUAAAUUCUUUAACACUUAUUCAUCUGAUAUUUGCAUAAAAAUCAUAAUGCUGCCUUUUUUGAAAAUUAUCCUUUAACAUACAGUAAAUAUGCACCACAGAGCCACUACAUAAGAUGCAAGAAACAUUUAUAAGCACUUUUAGGCACAGAGUCUUCUAUUUCACCAACUAGCUUUAACACUGAAUUAUUGGACCCAAUUUUAGUUUUUUUGUUUCUUCUCAGUGCUUUUGUUUUUCCUAUAUCUUGAAACAUUUUGAUCUUUCAUAGUAUUGGGACCUAUUU